CACGUAGGGGGCGAGCGUUGUCCGGAUUUAUUGGGCGUAAAGAGCGUGUAGGCGGCCAGGUAGGUCUGCUGUGAAAACUCGAGGCUCAACCUCGAGAUGUCGGCGGAAACCAUCUGGCUAGAGUCCGGAAGAGGAAAGUGGAAUUCCUGGUGUAGCGGUGAAAUGCGCAGAUAUCAGGAAGAACACCCGUGGCGAAGGCGGCUUUCUGGGACGGUACUGACGCUGAGACGCGAAAGCGUGGGGAGCGAACAGG
Molecule: ribosomal RNA, 253 nt
Filed under: uncultured bacterium
Lineage: Bacteria
Description: partial 16S ribosomal RNA
Rfam family: Bacterial small subunit ribosomal RNA
Source: RNAcentral